UCCGAUAUGGUGUAGUGGCUAACAUUAUCGCCUCUCAUAAUCAAAUUGUCAGCAUCUAGAGUUGCGCGAUAGCCCGGGGUUCAAUUCCCCGUGUCGGAA
Non-coding RNA from Rhodocollybia butyracea, 99 nucleotides. The record is from the annotation of a GenBank genome assembly. NCBI's taxonomy places the organism in Eukaryota, Fungi, Basidiomycota, Agaricomycetes, Agaricales, Omphalotaceae.